CCUACGGGAGGCAGCAGUGGGGAAUAUUGGGCAAUGGGCGCAAGCCUGACCCAGCAACGCAGCGUGAAGGAAGAAAGCCCUCGGGUUGUAAAAUUCUUUUGUCAGGGACGACACAAAUGACGGUACCUGACGAAUAAGCCACGGCGGACUACGGGCCAGCCGCCGCGGUAAUACGUAGGUGGCAAGCGUUAUCCGGAUUUACUGGGUGUAAAGGGCGUGUAGGCGGGAGAGCAAGUCAGAUGUGAAAUUCCAGGGGUCAACCCUGGAACUGCAUUUGAAACUGUUUUUCUUGAGGGAUGGAGAGGCAGGCGGAAUGCCGUGUGUAGCGGUGAAAUGCGUAGAUAUACGGAGGAACACCAGUGGCGAAGGCGGCCUGCUGGACAUUAACUGACGCUGAGGCGCGAAAGCGUGGGGAGCAAACAGGAUUAGAUACCCGUGUAGUC
RNAcentral lists this ribosomal RNA (443 nucleotides) under uncultured bacterium. RNAcentral's name for it is "partial 16S ribosomal RNA". It matches the Rfam family "Bacterial small subunit ribosomal RNA", at positions 338 to 795 of the family's 1533-position model. The record is from RNAcentral.